AUAAAUAAAUUAUUAAGAGCACUUGAUGGAUGCCUUGGCGUUAAGAGGCGAUGAAGGACGUGGCAGGCUGCGAUAAGCUGUGGGGAAUUGUCAACAAAUUUUGAUCCGCAGAUUUCCGAAUGGGGAAACCCAACUAGCUUAGCUAGUUAUUACAUACUAAGUAUGUAAAGCAAACUUGGUGAACUGAAAUAUCUAAGUAGCCAAAGGAAAAGAAAUCAACCGAGAUUCUGUUAGUAGUGACGAGCGAAAGCGGAAAAGGCUAGUGAUUUAAGAAUAAGAAUUAGAAUACUCUGGAAAUAGUAACCAUAGAAGGUGAUAGUCCUGUAUAAGUAGAAAGUUUUUAAAUCCUUGAGUAGAGCGGGGCACGUGAAAUCCUGUUUGAAUAUGGGGGGACCAUCCUCCAAGCCUAAAUACUACUUAACGACCGAUAGUGAACAAGUACCGUGAGGGAAAGGUGAAAAGAACCCCGGGAGGGGAGUGAAAUAGAAUCUGAAAUCAAGUGCUUACAAACAGUUGGAGCUCUAUAUCAAUUUAUUGAUAUUUAGAGUGACAGCGUACCUUUUGCAUAAUGGGUCAGCGAGUUAAUCUAUGAAGCAAGCUUAAGCCGUUAGGUGUAGGCGUAGCGAAAGCAAGUCUGAAUAGGGCGUUUUAGUUUUAUGGAUUAGACCCGAAACCAAGUGAUCUAGUCAUGACCAGAUUGAAGGUGUGGUAAAACACACUGGAGGAUCGAACCAGUUAAUGUUGCAACAUUAUUGGAUGAGUUGUGAUUAGGGGUGAAAGGCCAAUCAAACUUGGAAAUAGCUGGUUCUCCGCGAAAUCUAUUUAGGUAGAGCGUUGUAUGUAUGUUGUUGGGGGUAGAGCACUGGAUAGACUAGGGGGAUUCACCGUCUUACCAAAUCUAACUAAACUCCGAAUACCAACAAUUAAUUAUACAGCAGGCACACUACGGGUGCUAAGUCCGUGGUGGAAAGGGAAACAACCCAGAUCACUAUCUAAGGUCCCAAAAUUACAGCUAAGUGGGGAAGGAAGUAGAAAAACCAUUACAGCUAGGAGGUUGGCUUGGAAGCAGCCAUCCUUUAAAGAAAGCGUAACAGCUCACUUGUCUAAAUAAGUUUUUCUGCGCCGAAAAUGUACCGGGGCUAAAGCUGUAUACCGAAGAUGUGAGUGCUUAUUGAUUUCGAUCAAUAGGCGCGGUAGCGGAGCGUUCCGUAAGUCUAUGAAGGUGGUUUGUGAAAACUGCUG
Molecule: ribosomal RNA, 1242 nt
Filed under: Wolbachia pipientis
Lineage: Bacteria; Pseudomonadati; Pseudomonadota; Alphaproteobacteria; Rickettsiales; Anaplasmataceae
Description: bacterial LSU rRNA
Rfam family: Bacterial large subunit ribosomal RNA
Source: RNAcentral